GUCACAUUAGUUAGUUGGUGGGGUAAAGGCCUACCAAGACUAUGAUGUGUAGCCGGGCUGAGAGGUUGAACGGCCACAUUGGGACUGAGACACGGCCCAAACUCCUACGGGAGGCAGCAGUAGGGAAUUUUCGGCAAUGGAGGAAACUCUGACCGAGCAACGCCGCGUGAACGAUGAAGUAUUUCGGUACGUAAAGUUCUUUUAUUAGGGAAGAAUAAAUGAUGGAAAAAUCAUUCUGACGGUACCUAAUGAAUAAGCCCCGGCUAACUAUGUGCCAGCAGCCGCGGUAAUACAUAGGGGGCAAGCGUUAUCCGGAAUUAUUGGGCGUAAAGGGUGCGUAGGCGGUUAAAUAAGUUUAUGGUCUAAGUGCAAUGCUCAACAUUGUGAUGCUAUAAAAACUGUUUAGCUAGAGUAAGAUAGAGGCAAGUGGAAUUCCAUGUGUAGUGGUAAAAUGCGUAAAUAUAUGGAGGAACACCAGUAGCGAAGGCGGCUUGCUGGGUCUUUACUGACGCUGAGGCACGAAAGCGUGGGGAGCAAACAGGAUUAGAUACCCUGGUAGUCCACGCCGUAAACGAUGAGUACUAAACGUUGGGUAAAACCAGUGUUGAAGUUAACACAUUAAGUACUCCGCCUGAGUAGUACGUACGCAAGUAUGAAACUUAAAGGAAUUGACGGGACUCCGCACAAGCGGUGGAUCAUGUUGUUUAAUUCGAAGGUACCCGAAAAACCUCACCAGGUCUGACAUGCUUCUGCAAAGCUGUAGAAACACAGUGGAGGUUAUCAGUUGCACAGGUGGUGCAUGGUUGUCGUCAGCUCGUGUCGUGAGAUGUUGGGUUAAGUCCCGCAACGAGCGCAACCCUUAUUGUUAGUUACCAGCACGUAAUGGUGGGGACUUUAGCAAGACUGCCAGUGAUAAAUUGGAGGAAGGUGGGGACGACGUCAAAUCAUCAUGCCCCUUAUGACCUGGGCUACAAACGUGAUACAAUGGCUGUUACAAAGGGUAGCUGAAGCGCAAGUUUUUGGCGAAUCUCAAAAAAACAGUCUCAGUUCGGAUUGAAGUCUGCAACUCGACUUCAUGAAGUG
RNAcentral lists this ribosomal RNA (1083 nucleotides) under Cassava witches'-broom aster yellows phytoplasma. Its description in RNAcentral is "bacterial SSU rRNA". It matches the Rfam family "Bacterial small subunit ribosomal RNA", at positions 235 to 1327 of the family's 1533-position model. The record is from RNAcentral. Lineage: Bacteria; Bacillati; Mycoplasmatota; Mollicutes; Acholeplasmatales; Acholeplasmataceae.